RNAcentral lists this ribosomal RNA (517 nucleotides) under Macaca thibetana (Pere David's macaque). Its description in RNAcentral is "partial 12S ribosomal RNA". It matches the Rfam family "Bacterial small subunit ribosomal RNA", at positions 789 to 1533 of the family's 1533-position model. The record is from RNAcentral. Lineage: Eukaryota; Metazoa; Chordata; Mammalia; Primates; Cercopithecidae.
ACUAUGCUUGGCCCUAAACCUCAGUAGUUAAAUAACAAAACUACUCGCCAGAAUACUACAAGCAACAGCUUAAAACUCAAAGGACUUGACGGUGCUUUACACCCCCUAGAGGAGCCUGUUCCGUAAUCGAUAAACCCCGAUCCACCCCACCCUCUCUUGCUCAGCCUAUAUACCGCCAUCUUCAGCAAACCCUGAUAAAGGCCACAAAGUGAGCGCAAACGCCACCACCGCGAAGACGUUAGGUCAAGGUGUAGCCCAUGAGACGGUAAAAAAUGGGCUACAUUUUCUAUCUCAGAAAACUCUACGAAAGCCCUUAUGAAAUCUGAGGGUCCAAGGAGGAUUUAGCAGUAAAUUAAGAAUAGAGUGCUUAAUUGAACCAGGCCAUAAAGCGCGCACACACCGCCCGUCACUCCUCUCAAAUAUAUUCAAGGAAUAUCUUAACUAAACGCCCUAAUGUUUAUAUAGAGAGGAUAAGUCGUAACAUGGUAAGCGUACUGGAAGGUGCGCUUGGAUAAAU